UUGGGUUGAGCUUAAUUGUAUGUGCUGACAAGGUUCAAGUUUUGGGUUGUAUGGGGGAAAUUGAAAGGCAAUUGAAAAGCAUUGAGCUCAAAUGUUGAGAAAGAAAAAUGCAUGAGAAAAAGAAAAGAAAAAAAAGCAUGAAGAUGAGCUCAAUGUAAAAAUAAAAGGAAAGGAAAGAAGUUGGGAAUAAGUAAGAUUGGUGAGGGGGAGAGUUGUGCUUAAACUUUGAAUAUUAUUGUAGCUCUCUUAACUCAAGGAUUUUGCAUUCCAAAAAAAGCAAUUUUUCUUGUUAGCCCAGCCUCAAUACAAGCCUUAGAAAAGUCCUUAUGAUGGCAUUUGCAAGUGAGGAUUUUGAUUGUUUGAGAUGAAUGGAAAUUUUGUUUCAUAUGACUUGUGAAUAAUAGAGAGAUGGAGUGUCACCUUAAACACUUGGGUGAUUGAGUGAAACACUUGCUUGGUAAGAAUGGAUAAAUUUCAUGCUUACAUCUUUGCUUAGUGGAUUGGUCAUUCAUAAAGUGUAAAAUCUGUUGAGAACUAUGUGAUCAUGUGAACUGAAUUG
This 559-nucleotide long non-coding RNA is filed under the name Vigna radiata. RNAcentral's name for it is "long non-coding RNA (VRAD_LNC017062)". The record is from RNAcentral. Lineage: Eukaryota; Viridiplantae; Streptophyta; Magnoliopsida; Fabales; Fabaceae.